ACACCCGUUCCCAUGCCGAACACGGAAGUUAAGCUCUUUAGCGCCGAUGGUAGUUGGGGGCUUCCCCCUGUGAGAGUAGGACGUUGCUAGGC
Molecule: ribosomal RNA, 92 nt
Filed under: Rummeliibacillus stabekisii
Lineage: Bacteria; Bacillati; Bacillota; Bacilli; Caryophanales; Caryophanaceae
Source: RNAcentral